Molecule: ribosomal RNA, 484 nt
Filed under: uncultured bacterium
Lineage: Bacteria
Description: partial 16S ribosomal RNA
Rfam family: Bacterial small subunit ribosomal RNA
Source: RNAcentral
AUUGAACGCUGGCGGCAUGCUUUACACAUGCAAGUCGAACGGCAGCGCGGGCUUCGGCCUGGCGGCGAGUGGCGAACGGGUGAGUAAUACAUCGGAACGUGCCCAGUAGUGGGGGAUAGCUCGGCGAAAGCCGGAUUAAUACCGCAUACGACCUGAGGGUGAAAGCGGGGGAUCUUCGGACCUCGCGCUUUUGGAGCGGCCGAUGGCAGAUUAGCUAGUUGGUGGGGUAAAGGCCUACCAAGGCGACGAUCUGUAGCUGGUCUGAGAGGACGACCAGCCACACUGGGACUGAGACACGGCCCAGACUCCUACGGGAGGCAGCAGUGGGGAAUUUUGGACAAUGGGCGAAAGCCUGAUCCAGCAAUGCCGCGUGUGUGAUGAAGGACUUCGGGUUGUAAAGCACUUUUGGCGGGAACGAAAAGGACUGUGCCAAUACCACGGUUCGAUGACGGUACCCGCAGAAUAAGCACCGGCUAACUACGUG